RNAcentral lists this ribosomal RNA (253 nucleotides) under uncultured bacterium. RNAcentral describes it as "partial 16S ribosomal RNA". It matches the Rfam family "Bacterial small subunit ribosomal RNA", at positions 524 to 776 of the family's 1533-position model. The record is from RNAcentral.
UACGGAGGGUGCAAGCGUUAUCCGGAUUCACUGGGUUUAAAGGGUGCGUAGGCGGCUAGGUAAGUCCGUGGUGAAAUCCUGCAGCUUAACUGCAGAACUGCCGUGGAUACUAUCUAUCUUGAAUGUCGUGGAGGUUAGCGGAAUAUGUCAUGUAGCGGUGAAAUGCGUAGAUAUGACAUAGAACACCCAUUGCGAAGGCAGCUAACUACGCGAUAAUUGACGCUGAUGCACGAAAGCGUGGGGAGCAAACAGG